Molecule: ribosomal RNA, 468 nt
Filed under: uncultured bacterium
Lineage: Bacteria
Description: partial 16S ribosomal RNA
Rfam family: Bacterial small subunit ribosomal RNA
Source: RNAcentral
GACGAACGCUGGCGGCGUGCUUAACACAUGCAAGUCGAACGGAAAGGCCCUGCUUUUGUGGGGUGCUCGAGUGGCGAACGGGUGAGUAACACGUGAGUAACCUGCCCUUAACUUUGGGAUAACUUCAGGAAACUGGGGCUAAUACCGGAUAGGAGCUCCUGCUGCAUGGUGGGGGUUGGAAAGUUUCGGCGGUUGGGGAUGGACUCGCGGCUUAUCAGCUUGUUGGUGGGGUAGUGGCUUACCAAGGCUUUGACGGGUAGCCGGCCUGAGAGGGUGACCGGCCACAUUGGGACUGAGAUACGGCCCAGACUCCUACGGGAGGCAGCAGUGGGGAAUAUUGCACAAUGGGCGGAAGCCUGAUGCAGCAACGCCGCGUGCGGGAUGACGGCCUUCGGGUUGUAAACCGCUUUCGCCUGUGACGAAGCGUGAGUGUCGGUAAUGGGUAAAGAAGCACCGGCUAACUACGUG